Molecule: ribosomal RNA, 638 nt
Filed under: uncultured bacterium
Lineage: Bacteria
Description: bacterial SSU rRNA
Rfam family: Bacterial small subunit ribosomal RNA
Source: RNAcentral
GGUGAGUAACGCGUAUCCAACCUUCCGUACACUCAGGGAUAGCCUUUCGAAAGAAAGAUUAAUACCUGAUGGUAUGAUGAGAUUGCAUGAUAGCAUCAUUAAAGAUUUAUCGGUGUACGAUGGGGAUGCGUUCCAUUAGGUAGUAGGCGGGGUAACGGCCCACCUAGCCAACGAUGGAUAGGGGUUCUGAGAGGAAGGUCCCCCACAUUGGAACUGAGACACGGUCCAAACUCCUACGGGAGGCAGCAGUGAGGAAUAUUGGUCAAUGGACGAGAGUCUGAACCAGCCAAGUAGCGUGAAGGAUGAAGGUCCUACGGAUUGUAAACUUCUUUUAUAAGGGAAUAAACCCUCCCACGUGUGGGAGCUUGUAUGUACCUUAUGAAUAAGCAUCGGCUAACUCCGUGCCAGCAGCCGCGGUAAUACGGAGGAUGCGAGCGUUAUCCGGAUUUAUUGGGUUUAAAGGGAGCGCAGACGGGUCGUUAAGUCAGCUGUGAAAGUUUGGGGCUCAACCUUAAAAUUGCCGUUGAAACUGGGUUACUUGAGUGUGUUUGAGGUAGGCGGAAUGCGUGGUGUAGCGGUGAAAUGCAUAGAUAUCACGCAGAACUCCGAUUGCGAAGGCAGCUUACUAAACCAUAACU